CAGCAGCCGCGGUAAUCCGAAGGGUGCAAGCGUUACUCGGAAUUACUGGGCGUAAAGCGUGCGUAGGUGGUGGUUUAAGUCCGUUGUGAAAGCCCUGGGCUCAACCUGGGAAUUGCAGUGGAUACUGGGUCACUAGAGUGUGGUAGAGGAUAGUGGAAUUUCCGGUGUAGCAGUGAAAUGCGUAGAGAUCGGAAGGAACAUCUGUGGCGAAGGCGACUAUCUGGGCCAACACUGACACUGAGGCACGAAAGCGUGGGGAGCAAACAGGAUUAGAUACCCGUGUAGUCCCUGUCUCUUAUAC
Molecule: ribosomal RNA, 301 nt
Filed under: uncultured bacterium
Lineage: Bacteria
Description: partial 16S ribosomal RNA
Rfam family: Bacterial small subunit ribosomal RNA
Source: RNAcentral